RNAcentral lists this ribosomal RNA (694 nucleotides) under Bacillus sp. J51420. Its description in RNAcentral is "bacterial SSU rRNA". It matches the Rfam family "Bacterial small subunit ribosomal RNA", at positions 63 to 738 of the family's 1533-position model. Lineage: Bacteria; Bacillati; Bacillota; Bacilli; Caryophanales; Bacillaceae. The record is from RNAcentral.
CGAGCGGAUUGAUGGGAGCUUGCUCCCAUCAAUCAGCGGCGGACGGGUGAGUAACACGUGGGUAACCUGCCUGUAAGACUGGGAUAACUCCGGGAAACCGGGGCUAAUACCGGAUAACUCAUUUCCUCGCAUGAGGAAAUGUUGAAAGAUGGCUUCUUGCUAUCACUUACAGAUGGACCCGCGGCGCAUUAGCUAGUUGGUGAGGUAACGGCUCACCAAGGCAACGAUGCGUAGCCGACCUGAGAGGGUGAUCGGCCACACUGGGACUGAGACACGGCCCAGACUCCUACGGGAGGCAGCAGUAGGGAAUCUUCCGCAAUGGACGAAAGUCUGACGGAGCAACGCCGCGUGAGUGAUGAAGGUUUUCGGAUCGUAAAACUCUGUUGUUAGGGAAGAACAAGUACCGUUCGAAUAGGGCGGUACCUUGACGGUACCUAACCAGAAAGCCACGGCUAACUACGUGCCAGCAGCCGCGGUAAUACGUAGGUGGCAAGCGUUGUCCGGAAUUAUUGGGCGUAAAGCGCGCGCAGGUGGUUUCUUAAGUCUGAUGUGAAAGCCCACGGCUCAACCGUGGAGGGUCAUUGGAAACUGGGGAACUUGAGUGCAGAAGAGGAAAGUGGAAUUCCAAGUGUAGCGGUGAAAUGCGUAGAUAUUUGGAGGAACACCAGUGGCGAAGGCGACUUUCUGGUCUGUA